GACGAACGCUGGCGGCGUGCUUAACACAUGCAAGUCGAGCGGUAAGGCCCUUUCGGGGUACGACGAGCGGCGAACGGGUGAGUAACACGUGGGUGACCUGCCCUCAGCUCUGGGAUAAGCCUGGGAAACCGGGUCGUAAUACCGGAUAUGACUCCAUGACGCAUGUUGUGGGUGGAAAGCCUUGUGCGGCUGAGGAUGGGCCGCGGCCUAUCAGCUUGUUGGUGGGGUGAUGGCCUACCAAGGCGACGACGGGUAGCCGGCCU
Molecule: ribosomal RNA, 263 nt
Filed under: uncultured bacterium
Lineage: Bacteria
Description: partial 16S ribosomal RNA
Rfam family: Bacterial small subunit ribosomal RNA
Source: RNAcentral